Molecule: ribosomal RNA, 207 nt
Filed under: Limosilactobacillus panis
Lineage: Bacteria; Bacillati; Bacillota; Bacilli; Lactobacillales; Lactobacillaceae
Description: Lactobacillus panis partial 16S ribosomal RNA
Rfam family: Bacterial small subunit ribosomal RNA
Source: RNAcentral
UGAAUCGCUAGUAAUCGCGGAUCAGCAUGCCGCGGUGAAUACGUUCCCGGGCCUUGUACACACCGCCCGUCACACCAUGGAAGUUUGCAAUGCCCAAAGUCAGUGGCCUAACCAUUUUGGAGGGAGCUGCCUAAGGCAGGGCAGAUGACUGGGGUGAAGUCGUAACAAGGUAGCCGUAGGAGAACCUGCGGCUGGAUCACCUCCUUU